UAGGGAAUCUUCCACAAUGGACGCAAGUCUGAUGGAGCAACGCCGCGUGAGUGAAGAAGGUUUUCGGACCGUAAAGCUCUGUUGUUGGUGAAGAAGGAUAGAGGUAGUAACUGGCCUUUAUUUGACGGUAAUCAACCAGAAAGUCACGGCUAACUACGUGCCAGCAGCCGCGGUAAUACGUAGGUGGCAAGCGUUGUCCGGAUUUAUUGGGCGUAAAGCGAGCGCAGGCGGAAGAAUAAGUCUGAUGAUGAAAGCCCUCGGCUUAACCGAGGAAUUGCAUCGGAAACUGUUUUCUUGAGUGCAGAAGAGGAGAGUAGAACUCCAUGUGUAGUGGUGGAAUGCGUAGAUAUAUGGAAGAAUACCAGUGGCGAAGGCGGCUCUCUGGUCUGCAACUGACGCUGAGGCUCGAAAGCAUGGGUAGCGAACAGGAUUAGAUACCCUGGUAGUCCAUGCCGUAAACGAUGAGUGCUAAGUGUUGGGAGGCUUCCGCCUCUCAGUGCUGCAGCUAACGCAUUAAGCACUCCGCCUGGGGAGUACGACCGCAAGGUUGAAAC
Molecule: ribosomal RNA, 554 nt
Filed under: uncultured bacterium
Lineage: Bacteria
Description: partial 16S ribosomal RNA
Rfam family: Bacterial small subunit ribosomal RNA
Source: RNAcentral